UGGGGAAUCUUGCGCAAUGGGCGAAAGCCUGACGCAGCGACGCCGCGUGAGGGAUGACGGCCUUCGGGUUGUAAACCUCUUUCAGCCGGGACGAAGCGAGAGUGACGGUACCGGCAGAAGAAGCACCGGCCAACUACGUGCCAGCAGCCGCGGUAAUACGUAGGGUGCAAGCGUUGUCCGGAAUUAUUGGGCGUAAAGAGCUCGUAGGCGGCUCGUCGCGUCGGCUGUGAAAACCUGGGGCUCAACCCCAGGCCUGCAGUCGAUACGGGCGAGCUAGAGUGCGGCAGGGGAGACUGGAAUUCCUGGUGUAGCGGUGGAAUGCGCAGAUAUCAGGAGGAACACCGAUGGCGAAGGCAGGUCUCUGGGCCGAAACUGACGCUGAGGAGCGAAAGCGUGGGGAGCGAACAGGAUUAGAUACCCCCGUAGUCC
This 429-nucleotide ribosomal RNA is filed under the name uncultured prokaryote. RNAcentral describes it as "bacterial SSU rRNA". It matches the Rfam family "Bacterial small subunit ribosomal RNA", at positions 355 to 796 of the family's 1533-position model. The record is from RNAcentral.